This 100-nucleotide non-coding RNA is filed under the name Chlamydomonas reinhardtii. RNAcentral's name for it is "rRNA SSU_rRNA_eukarya". It matches the Rfam family "Eukaryotic small subunit ribosomal RNA", at positions 1502 to 1604 of the family's 1831-position model. Lineage: Eukaryota; Viridiplantae; Chlorophyta; Chlorophyceae; Chlamydomonadales; Chlamydomonadaceae. RNAcentral also lists the same sequence under 1 other name. The record is from Rfam by way of RNAcentral.
ACUGACGCGACCAACGAGCCUAUCCUUGGCCGAGAGGCCCGGGUAAUCUUGUAAACCGCGUCGUGAUGGGGAUAGAUUAUUGCAAUUAUUAGUCUUCAAC